GAUGAACGCUGGCGGCAUGCUUUACACAUGCAAGUCGAACGGCAGCGGGGGCUUCGGCCUGCCGGCGAGUGGCGAACGGGUGAGUAAUGCAUCGGAACGUGCCCAUGUCGUGGGGGAUAACGUAUCGAAAGGUACGCUAAUACCGCAUACGCCCUGAGGGGGAAAGCGGGGGAUUCUUCGGAACCUCGCGCGAUUGGAGCGGCCGAUGUCGGAUUAGCUAGUAGGUGAGGUAAAGGCUCACCUAGGCGACGAUCCGUAGCGGGUCUGAGAGGAUGAUCCGCCACACUGGGACUGAGAUACGGCCCAGACUCCUACGGGAGGCAGCAGUCGAGAGGCUUCGGCAAUGGGGGAAACCCUGACCGAGCGACGCCGCGUGAGGGAUGAAGGCCCUUGGGUUGUAAACCUCUUUUGUUCGGGAAGAAGUGCGAUCAGGUGAAUAAUCUGGUCGUUUGACGGUACCGGACGAAUAAGCUCCGGCUAACUCCGUGCCAGCAGCCGCGGUAAAUGACG
This 510-nucleotide ribosomal RNA is filed under the name uncultured bacterium. RNAcentral describes it as "bacterial SSU rRNA". It matches the Rfam family "Bacterial small subunit ribosomal RNA", at positions 28 to 527 of the family's 1533-position model. The record is from RNAcentral.